UACCUGCAGCUCUAGUGGUGUCCGCUAUUAUUGGGCCUAAAACGUCCGUAGCCGGCUUAUUAAAUGCCUGGGUAAAUCGUACGGCUUAACCGUACGAAUUCCGGGUAGACUGAUAAGCUUGGGACCGGGAGAAGCUAGAGGUACUCCUGGGGUAGAGGUGUAAUUUUGUAAUCCUAGGGGGACCACCAGUGGCGAAGGCGUCUAGCUAGAACGGGUUUGACGGUGAGGGACGAAGCCCUGGGGAGCAAACGGGAUUAGAUACCCCGGUAGUCCAGGGUGUAAACGCUGCUUGCUUGAUGUUAGUCGAGCUCCGAGCCCGAUUAGUGUCGGAGAGAAGUUGUUAAGCAAGCUGCCUGGGAAGUACGGCCGCAAGACUGAAACUUAAAGGAAUUGGCGGGGAGCACUGCAACGGGUGGAGCGUGCGGUUU
This 428-nucleotide ribosomal RNA is filed under the name uncultured archaeon. RNAcentral describes it as "bacterial SSU rRNA". It matches the Rfam family "Archaeal small subunit ribosomal RNA", at positions 474 to 903 of the family's 1478-position model. The record is from RNAcentral.